CCCUUAGAUGUUCUGGGCUGCACGCGCGCUACACUGAUGCGCUCAACGAGUUUUAACCUUGCCUGGAAAGGUUGGGUAAUCUUUUUAAAACGCAUCGUGAUGGGGAUAGAUUAUUGCAAUUAUUAAUCUUCAACGAGGAAUUCCUAGUAAACGCAAGUCAUCAGCUUGCAUUGAUUACGUCCCUGCCCUUUGUACACACCGCCCGUCGCACCUACCGAUUGAAUGGUCCGGUGAAAUCUCGGGACGGCGGCUUGGUCGCUUGCGUCCGACUGCUGAAACUUGAUUAAACCAUAUCAUUUAGAGGAAGGUGAAGUCGUANCA
Molecule: ribosomal RNA, 321 nt
Filed under: uncultured eukaryote
Lineage: Eukaryota
Description: partial 18S ribosomal RNA
Rfam family: Eukaryotic small subunit ribosomal RNA
Source: RNAcentral